This 484-nucleotide ribosomal RNA is filed under the name uncultured bacterium. RNAcentral's name for it is "partial 16S ribosomal RNA". It matches the Rfam family "Bacterial small subunit ribosomal RNA", at positions 30 to 507 of the family's 1533-position model. The record is from RNAcentral.
AUUGAACGCUGGCGGAAUGCUUUACACAUGCAAGUCGAACGGCAGCACGGGGGCAGCCCUGGUGGCGAGUGGCGAACGGGUGAGUAAUACAUCGGAACGUGCCCGGUCGUGGGGGAUAACGUAGCGAAAGUUACGCUAAUACCGCAUACGAUCUGAGGAUGAAAGCGGGGGACCUUCGGGCCUCGCGCGAUCGGAGCGGCCGAUGUCAGAUUAGGUAGUUGGUGGGGUAAAGGCCUACCAAGCCGACGAUCUGUAGCUGGUCUGAGAGGACGACCAGCCACACUGGGACUGAGACACGGCCCAGACUCCUACGGGAGGCAGCAGUGGGGAAUUUUGGACAAUGGGCGCAAGCCUGAUCCAGCCAUUUCGCGUGCAGGACGAAGGCCUUCGGGUUGUAAACUGCUUUUGUACGGAACGAAAAGGCUCUGGCUAAUACCUGGGGCUCAUGACGGUACCGUAAGAAUAAGCACCGGCUAACUACGUG